AACGAUUCAUAGAUCUAAAACGUUUUCACAACAAAAACGCACAUCUCAAUCUCCGAUCAACCAAAUCCACCGAAAGGAAAGGAUAAAAACAAUAAAAACCGAAGAGAGAGAAAAUAAACAAAUAAUAUACAAAGGAAUAACAGAUCGACAAAGAAUCAAAAGAAACUUACCUUAGAACGUAAAGAGAAGAAGAGGCUGGAGAAGGAUUGGUCUCAACUGUGCGUGAGGUGAGAGAGACUGUGAAAGAUUAAGGGGAGAGCAACGCUUUUAUAUUGAGCGACGUGAAAGGAUAAAAACAAUAAAAACCGGAAGAGAGAGAAAAUAAACAAAUAAUCUACAAAGGAAUAACAGAGAAUCAAUUAAGAUAGAAAUAGAGAUCGACAAAGAAUCGAAAGAAAGUUACCUUGGAACGUAAAGAGAAGAAGAGGCUGGAGAAGGAUUGGUCUCAACUAUGCGUGAGGUGAGAGAGAUUGUGAAACAUUAAGGGGAGAGCAACGCUUUUAUAUUGAGCGACGAGGUAGAGAGAGAAUAGGUUUUCUAGGGCAAACUCGGCCCCUUGAUUUUUUCUAUAUUUUUUCCUUAUUUUCUCAAACCG
This 595-nucleotide long non-coding RNA is filed under the name Jatropha curcas. RNAcentral describes it as "long non-coding RNA (JCUR_LNC001962)". Lineage: Eukaryota; Viridiplantae; Streptophyta; Magnoliopsida; Malpighiales; Euphorbiaceae. The record is from RNAcentral.